GUAGUGUUGGAAACCAAGUAGAAUUGCCUCAGCUGCAUUUUAGAAAUAACCCCAAAAUACAAACUCAUCAAAUGAACAAACAAAUACAUCUUAGAAUACAAAAUAAAUGUGAUCUAAGUGGUUCCAUUCAAACCCACUGCCAAAAAUGGAAAGACAGCGAAAGAAAAAAUGGGAAUUCCACAUGAUCAAAUAGUGAGGUAUAAAUGAAUUCCAAUCUUCCAUACAAAUAAAAUAAAAUAUGAAGCAAUAAGAAAGCAACAACAUUAAAAGAUAAGAAAAAAAAAUGCGUUCUAAAAAAAUCGCAUUCUACUUGAGAAUAUGGGAUUCAAAUAAAAACACGUUUAGCGCAAACAGCGAAUAAAUUAAAUAAAGCAAACUGAGAACGACGUCAUGUCAGAGUUCACAGUUUAGUCUACAGCACAAAUUCGCGUUGAUUGUUGAAGAAACAGUGGAUUUAUAGACAACUAUAGCAAAAUGGCUCAUGAAUCAUGAUUAUCAAGACCAAAACACUUUUGAUUAUACUAUGCUUAAUGAUUAAUCAGACUAAUAGUAUAUUUUGGCCCAAUCAGAAAAAUAACUCAAGGAUAAGGACCUA
This 595-nucleotide unclassified non-coding RNA is filed under the name Hevea brasiliensis (rubber tree). The record is from RNAcentral. Lineage: Eukaryota; Viridiplantae; Streptophyta; Magnoliopsida; Malpighiales; Euphorbiaceae.